This is a long non-coding RNA of Macadamia integrifolia, 395 nucleotides long. RefSeq lists it as uncharacterized. NCBI's taxonomy places the organism in Eukaryota, Viridiplantae, Streptophyta, Magnoliopsida, Proteales, Proteaceae. The record is from RefSeq and is a predicted model, not a curated record. The transcript has 3 exons.
GAGAGAGAAAGAAAGAAGAAAGGAAAAGGAGGAAGAAGAAGAAAGAAAAAAGAAAAUCGAUCGUAGAGCUUCAUCGGAGUUGGGUCUUGAUAUUUUAAGCUCGGAUUAAUGAUCAGCUCGUCGGGAUCUUCGAUUUGAGGAUUUGGAAGGAGUGUUGGUGAAGAUCUAGAGUAUUUGAAGUUCUUGAACUAAAGAAGGGAAAUUUGAGGAUUCAUUGGUGUUCUUGACAAAGAGGUUACCCAAGUAGAGAUCAGGAGCCGGGCCCCACUAUGGAGUUUCCCUCUGAGGACUGGUGGGUCCCUGAUGAGUUCGAGCACGGUGUCGAUUGCACGUGCAAGGAUUGUGUUGCAUGGCAGUAGUGACUCCUGAGUGAUUAUUUUUUAUUAUUUUGAUGU